UCAUUCUUUCCUAAAAUAACUCUUCAAAAUAGAUAUUAUCAUCACCAUUUUAUUGAUGAGUAUAUUACGUCCUGAAAGGUGAAGUAACUCAUUCAGGACUGCAUGGCUAUUUCAGUGCAGUUCCUGGGGCACUUGAGUCCAGUCCUGAAUUCUUCCCACUACCGCCAAGGAGGCUAAAGCCACUCGUGCAGGAUCUCGAAUGCUGGCAACUAUCACUUUUAAGUAGAGCAGUUGGGAAUGGGAGUCUGAACUGGUGAUGGCCGGAGAAAGAAAAAAAGAGGCUUAAUUCUAGACAUACUGUUGAGUUAAACCAAUAGGUCAGUGGUUCUCAAAGUGUUUCCAGGCCAGCAGUAUUAGCAUCUCCUGGGAACUUACUAGAAAUACAAAUCCAACUACCAAAUUGGAAAUUUUCGUGGUGGGGUCCAGAAAUCUCUGUGUUAACAAGAUCUCCAGGGGAUUUUGACAUGUAUUCAUGUUUGAAUGAUUCUGUCAUAGACCAUAUCGAUGAGCUGGAUUUGAGAAGUUGGGAGUGGAGUCAUGGAUGCAGAUUAAGACAAUGGCAAAGAGGCUAACACUGGUCACAGUGGCCAAGAAAAAUAUGAAGAGGAAACGGAAACCUAACAAAGAUCCCAUUCCAUGAGCAAACAGAGCAGACAUUAAGAGCCUCAGAGAGGAAAUACCACACUCAAGAUGCAACCAAGAAGAAUUAGCCAGAAUAUGAUUCUCAGAGACGGGCUCAUCUACUGGAUUUCACACAGGACCAUGGAUGGAGAAGAAGAUAAUGAUGCAAGAUGACCAUCAGAAGAGGUAACACUAACCAUGAUGCCCAAUCAGAUCUUCACCUAGUUGGGUCAGAGAAAUAAUAUGGUUUAAAUUCAGUGAUUUUGUUGGGUCACAAAGAUGACGUCAGCUGGGGUCAAAUGGCUCUGGCUCAGUUAUAUCAAUUGUGCAAAGGCAGCCCUUGAAAAUGCUUGUCUGGGCAUCAGAAUGGGGCUGGAAUACUUUAAUGUAAACUAAGAUGGUCUCAGACAAAUAGUUAUUUUCACACAGAAUUUUAGCCCCAGGAAGGAUAAUAACUGCAGUGGAUUCAUCCCAGUAAUGGGCCCAGUUUGUUCAUGCCUCCUGCUUACAUGCUUUUUGGUAGUUUUUAUCACACUGACUCUAGGCUUGGUCAUGGAACUUAUUCUGGCCAAUGGGGCAGGAGCAAUGGUGAUAUAAGCAGGAACAAGAAGAGUACUUGAGCCCUGGCCCUCUCACUGCUCUUGAGGUCCUGCUGAGCUGCCAUAUUGAAUAAGACUGCUGGAAGUUGAGAAAACACAUGAGCUGAGCUGAGCCAUUCCAGCUGAGCCAUCUUACACCAGCCAGACCUUAGUGGACCUGGCAACUGACAACAGCUACAAGAGUGUGCCCAGCCAACAUCAACUGUGUCUAGUCCAAAGAGGCAGAAUCACCCAGCUAAGCCCAGCCAGAUUGCCAUUACUUAGGAUAGUGACUAAAUAAAUGAUGAUUGUUUCAAGUCAUUAUAUUCUGGAAUGGUUUAUUAUAUAGCAAUGCCUGUCUGAUAUAACAUUCUUGCUUCAUAAUACUUGAUAUAAAAA
Molecule: long non-coding RNA, 1598 nt
Organism: Canis lupus familiaris (dog)
Lineage: Eukaryota; Metazoa; Chordata; Mammalia; Carnivora; Canidae
Exons: 4
Source: RefSeq, a predicted model, not a curated record